AAUAAAAAUGAUUAGUUAUCCUGUUGAUUGUUGCGAAAUUUUCUCCAUAUAUGCUCAACCAAAUCACUUUUUCAUUGUUGAUGCAUAUUUUGAUCACGAAGUUGAUUUCGCAUGCCCAUCAUAUUCUCGAUAUUUAGAGGCAUACCUGUAGAAUACGAUAAAUCGACUUGUGGAGUUUGGUUUCCUUCAACUUGUAGGAAUUCUGAAACAUCAAACUGAAUGUUGUACCCAUCUCGUUCGUCUUCGACUAUCAUAUUGUGCAGUAUGAUACAUGCUUUC
RNAcentral lists this small RNA (279 nucleotides) under Arabidopsis thaliana (thale cress). RNAcentral describes it as "ATSL138830". Lineage: Eukaryota; Viridiplantae; Streptophyta; Magnoliopsida; Brassicales; Brassicaceae. The record is from RNAcentral.